RNAcentral lists this long non-coding RNA (4567 nucleotides) under Zostera marina. Its description in RNAcentral is "long non-coding RNA (ZMAR_LNC004418)". Lineage: Eukaryota; Viridiplantae; Streptophyta; Magnoliopsida; Alismatales; Zosteraceae. The record is from RNAcentral.
AAUUUCUUCUUGAACAUCCUUGUCGGUAGACAUGAUCACAACCUACACAAAACACAAACACUUUGAUUAGCUUAGCUGUUUUUGUAAAAAAAAAAGAGAAGGUUGCAAAAAGUCGAUUCCAAGAGAAAGUCGAUCCAGACUUCAGGAAGUCGUAUUAUAGUUCAAGGAGAAACAACUUCGGAAAACUAACUUCAAAAUAUUAGAAUACCAGAAAGUCGAUCCCCGUAAUGAUACAACUUUAGGAAUUCGACUAUAAGAAGUCGGACUUUAGAAAGUCGAAUCACAGGGAAGACAACUUCAAGAGACACAACUUGCAUUACAGUCUCAUGAAGUCGAUCCCAACAGAUCCGAUCCAGGAAAGUCGAUAACAAAAGUCGGACUUCAAGAGGUCGGACUGUAACCUAAGGGAGGUCACUUCGGGAAAGUAACUUCAAAAGUUGAGUCCCAGGAAGUCGAUCCCAGUAAUAUUGGGCCCAACUCUGAAAAGUCGAUGACAAGAAGUCAGACUUCACAAAGUCGGACCACAGUCCAAAGGGGACACAACUUCAAGGAAGACCGACUCUAAGAAAAGUCGAACCUCAAGGAAGUCGGUCCCAGUGCCACUUUAGCAGAAUCCGACCAUGGAAGUCGGACCCCGAAAAGUAGCACCUCCAAGGCUGAAGUCGAAGCCUUACGCGCGCUAAAAGUCGAAGCGGAAGAACUUGAAAGUCGAUGCGAGAAAGUCGAUGCCUCAGAGCGUUAGAAAUUGGUGAGAAGGAAAUGACCCCCCCUUCAUUAUUUAUAGGGGGAAGUCGAAGACGAACCGUCGCGGGUACUGUUCACCCCGUGGGCCGAAAAGUCCACGGACCCGGCAGGCCCAAGACGCCCGAGUCCGAUAAAACCAAAAAUCCGGCUAAAUGGCUUCGACAUUUCAGGACAAUAGCAUCGACAUUUAAUGAUUGGGUAUCGACAUCCCAGCAGGCUUCAGAUCGACAUCCUCAGAGAAGGAUAGGCGUCGACAUUUACUUUGGAAUAGACAUCCUUCAUAAGAGAAUGACAGGAUCGACAUUCCACAAACACUCAGAUCGACAUCAGAGGAGGAUAGACGUCGACAUUAGAGUACCAUUCACAGUUGACAUCAACAUCCUCAGAAAAGGAUGAAAUCGACUUUUAUACGACAUUGACAUCUUCAGGGAAAGAUGAGAUCGACUUUUCGUACGACCGUCGACAUCCUCAGAAAAGGAAAGAGUCAACCAUCGCACAGUAUCGACGUCCUCAGAAAAAGGUGAGAUCGACUUUUACAAGAUAUCGACAUCCUUAGAGAAGGAUGGGAUCGACUUUCUGUGUAAGCUUCGACACCUUCAGAAAAGGAUAGAAUCGACCAACAUGCAACAUCGACUUUAAGGAAUCGACAUUCUAGAAAAAGUCGAUCUUCAUACACAAAAUUCUUAGAAAAAGGACGAAGUAUACCCGCAAAGUACACCGACGUGCUUCAGAGCAAAGGUGUAAAACAAAUACAAAGAAGGGAAAAUAUCUUUAUUUAGAAUUACAAGUAAAAAGAAUGAAAAGAUUACAAGUCCUUAGUUAAAAUUAAUACGGCGACGCAGGCGACGAGGGACCUGAUUGGGGGAAGAACCACUACAUCGAGGACGCCUCCGGCACCGACCACGAGAAGGGGCGACAGGGGAAGCCACAGUCGGCAGGUCACCAACAGACCAUUCUUCAAAUAUCGAUUCCCUAGCUGCAACAGCAACACUCUGCCGCUCAACAAUAAUUUUGCACAGAGCAGGAAGAUCCAAGGCCGAAAACCGAGGAUCCAAAAUAUUAAGAAUUCUAUCCAGCUCCUCAAUCUCCCCCUGAAUAAAAUCAGCGAAGAGACUCACAAGAAAAGCCAUGGAUGAAGGGAAAGGAGGACUUAAAGGAUCUAUUUAUAGACCCGGGUCUGCACAAGAAACAAAAAUAGAGUAAAACUGACCAGGAGGACAACCCUUCCAAGAUCAACACGAAGACUCGACUUUUUUGGCCAAAGCACAAGGAAUCGACUUUUAGUAAAAGAGUCAACACAAGGACCCAAGGGAUCGACUUUUCUACAAAAGUCGAAGGUCAAUAUUCGGAUCGAAUUUUGCACAAAAGUCGAUUAACAUUACGAGGGAUCAACUUUUUCUCCCCAACACAAGGGGGGUGUAAAAAAAAGAACCCUGACGUAUUGGAAUAUGGUGGAAGUUCACCAAGGCAGGGGGUGUAGGAAAAACACUCCUGACAUCUUAAAAGUCACCAAGGCAGGGGGUGUAGGAAAAAUACUCCUGAGACCUUGAAGUUCACCAAGGCGGGGGGGUAUAAGAGAAGAAAAAAAACCCGGAAAUCUGCAUAACAAUAAAAAGGACCCGACAGAGGCAGAAGCCUUGUGGUCACACCACCAAGGAAGAAUAACACCGAUGACGGUACAACAGCAGAAUGAACUGGGGCACUCUAAGAUAUUUGAACUCCUACAAUUACUGGAUGCAGUAACAAAGUCUAAGAUAUUUGAACUCCUACAAUUACUGGAUGCAGUAACAAAGUAGGACGCCAAAUUAACCCUACCUACGGAAGAACGUAGGUGGAGAAAGUCUUAGUGGCAACAGGGUCAGAACGCGUACCCCAUCCGGAAAUACUCACCACAUCUACAAAAAAAAACGUAGAUAGAAGGGUGAGUAAAAAACAAACCCCACCUAAGGAAGAACGUAGGUAGACGGGGAACACGACACACGCUCACCUACAAAAAAACGUAGGCUAAGAGGGAAGUGUUCAGGAGUAGACCUCACCUACGGAAGAACGUAGGUAGACGAGGGACACACCGGCAAAGCAUUGCCCUCUUCUACAAAGAACGUAGACAGAGGGAGAUGUGCUCAAAAGUGAACCUCACCUACGGAAGAACGUAGGUAGUCGAGAAACACACCGGCUAAAAGAACUUAACCAAAUCUACGAAAAAACGUGGAUAGAGGGGUAAGUAUUCAAAAAUAAACUUCACCUAUGGAAGAACAUAGUAGACGAGGAACUACACUCAACCUCAGCCGCGGAAGCAGCGAGCAGAAGGAGAGGGCAAGAGUUCAAAAAAGAACCUCACCUAUGGAAGUACAUAGGUAGACGAGGAACUACACUCAACCUCAGCCACGAAAGCAGCGAGCAGAAGGAAGGGGCAAGGGUUCAAAAGAAAACUUUACCUAUAAAACAAAAUAGGUAGAAGGGACAACACUCAACUCCAACCACAGAAGAGGGGAGAGGUACUCGAACAUUGCUCGGAGACAUCUCAGCAAAGCGUCAAGGCGGGCAAGCAGGGUUCCGCUCGGAAAUCGAGCUAGGCAAGCUGCGCAAGGAGUAUACUUCGGCUAAGACAAACCGGACAAUAGUUAGUAAAAGUAUGUGACAACCUCCGUGGAAGGAUAGAUAUAACCUCGCGGUUGUAGAAAGGGGGGAGAACUGGUGAGAGAGGAUCUCGCAUCCCAGGACAUCACCAAUAAACCACACCCCCGCACGCAAAGAGGGGGGAAUACUGAUAGUACGAAGUCCGACGCAUAUACCAUAGUACUAAAAGACGUAUCCCAAGAUAUCUGAUACGCAGAGGAGGGGGGUACUGGUGAUACAGUAUCCCAAACCCGAUCACAACUUAUCAGCAACUAGAAGUCCGGAUAGCCUAAGAUGAGUUAAGGUACCUAUUCUAGGAUUGGAAAGGUCUCAAGUCAAAUCCUAGGUAGAUCGACUUUCCCAAGGUUCGACUUCCCUAGGAUCGACUUCUGAACAAAGUCGAACCCCAGAAAAGUCGGAUCCUAAGAAAGUCGAUUUGUGGAAAGUCGACCUUGGAUCCCGAUUUGAUCAGUUAGGUAGUUAGGCGAUUACUGCCCAAAUGACCAGAUUACCCCCAUAAGAAUCCCUAUAAAUAGGAGGCACCCUCACUCAUUUGAGGCAAGUCAUUUGGAGUAGAGAAUUCCUAGCGAAGCAGAGCUCUGCUCACUUGAGUUCUGGUUCGAUUUCCUGCGGAGUUUCCCGCUUGGCGUUUGCUGAAGCGUCUUGGAGUACUGAUCGGGUUUCACCCUCAUCAAGAACCAUGAGGAGUCUAUAUAUAUGUGUUUUCGUCUAAUUAUACAUCAAAACCAGGAAAUCCUAGUUUCCAAAUCGUGUGUUCCUCCCCCUCUUCUUGUCUCAUGCAUCUACUUGCACCUGACUAACACACUCCAUAUCAGUGGCUAACUUUGUCAUAAUUAAGACUUCCCACCGUCUGCGGCUGGAGGCGGAGCGGAGAGAGUGCUUAAUUUGCAAACUGGAAGUUGCAUUGCAUGCUAGCUAGUCCGGGAGGGAUCCAACGAUAGUGAAGGAGAAUGGGAGAAGUUCAUUAAAGUCAACUAACCUCGAUCUUGAUCUAAUUUUUAUUUUCGCUAAUCAAUUUAUGUCAUUGUACCUCUUCUUAUCUUGUAAAUUAGUCUGUUUUCAUUAACCCUUAUUACCACCAUAAACAUUCAGACAUGCUGUUUCUUAAAAAAUAAUAAUUAAAUUGAUGAGAGAGACGUAUGGCGUAGUUUGUUUGACUCAUCCAUUCACGGUGCUCCUUUAAUCC